Long non-coding RNA from Oncorhynchus tshawytscha (Chinook salmon), 2344 nucleotides. The record is from Ensembl. Lineage: Eukaryota; Metazoa; Chordata; Actinopteri; Salmoniformes; Salmonidae.
AAAAUGUGUCACUAUAGGGGUCUGAAUACUCGCUAAAUAUAGUGACUAAGUCGAUAAAUUGGCAACACUGCCAAUGAGUGCAGCUGCGCUUAUUGUUUGCAACAUGAGUGUAUGAUGACGGGUAGCCUGGCGCCGCGCCAGGGAGGAGGAGUGGGAGCAGGCGUGACAGGAUGAAGGUCUACGUAUUCAAACUACGUCACACCAUGAGAAAGUAAAAAGAAACAGCGAUGUUGUAGCGGUUUAUCGACACCACUGCAUUUUUGGGCAUGCAACAAUUGGCUUUUAGAGGACACGAUGAGAGGGAAAGUUCCGCUAACAAGGGCAACUACAAUGAGAUUGCGGAGCAACUGGGUUCUACAGUUUGACCCCACUGCUGUCCCUGGCUCCACACACAUCCUGCCCGGCCAUCUAGAUGUUUGAAGGUAGGUGUCUUUUCUGUAGGGAAGCUAAUGAUCCAUCAUGUAUGACAUUCCUGGGAGCUUGUAAACAUAAAUGUUUUUAUUACCAUAUCAUUUUUGUAUGUUCUCUAUAGUUAUGUACUUGAACAUUUUUAAUUUGACCAAUUCAGAACAUUUGGGCAAACUCCUGGCAGAUGUAAUUCUUCACUGGAUCAGUCUGAACCUUUGCACACAUACUGCUGCCAUCUUGUGGACAACAUCUAAAUUCACACCCAUAAUCCUAUAUCAAUGGAUGGCCUUUCUCUUGCAUUUCCAAAUGAUUGUAUUAUCUUUUUCCAGAUCUAAUGUGUUAUAUUUUCCUACAUUAAUUUCAAAUUUCCACAGACUUCCAUAAACUUCAAAGUGUUUCCUUUCAAAUGGUAUCAAGAAUAUGCAUAUCCUUGGUUCAGGUUCUGGAGAUACAGGCAGUUAGAUUUGGGUAUGUCAUUUAGGCAGAAAUUGGAAAAAAGGGUCUGAUCCUUAUUAAGAGAUGAUGACCACUCAGCUACUGUUGUCAUCUCUCUCCGGACAUGAACUGAAGCCACAUUUCAUUUGCCCGGUCAUUCACUAGCAAAUUGAAUGUUUCCUGUCCAAGCACUUUAAAUCCUGUCCUGCCCUCAGUGGAAGAGUUGAGCUCUCUCCAAACACCAUCCAUCCAUCCAUGAUGAGCCUGUCCUGCACUAAAGUCUAUGAACACCUCAACCCCCGUCCUUCACUGAAGUCGAACCUCUGAACACCUCAACUCAUGCCUCAUACCCUCAUUCAAUCACUGCUGUGAUCCCUUCCCAACACUGGUGAUUAUCAACUUGGCAUGGCACCUUCCAUUGUUGGGAGAAAGAGCAGAGCAGGCCCUAGGGUCAGGAGGAGGAAAACCUUUCAAAAAAUGGCAUGCCCUUCUAAAACUGGUUAUAAUUACAGCUCUGUUUAUGAUAUUAAGAUUCUAACAAUGGCAGUCUGUUAUAUAGACUCAUUUAGGAAAAGUCAAGGAGGGGAGGCAUGACUUUAUAAUUGGCAGAGAAGGAGGACCAGAAGGAGCCGCUGCUCAGUGCAACGCAGCCUCCAUCCUCAUGGAUGAAGACCGCAUGGAGCUGGUGUAGCUAACCAUGGCAGCAGUGGCCCUGCCCUCUCUGGCCAUCCUGACCGGGGCUCAGGAGAUCUCAGACGACUAGUGGAAGGACAUGGUCCAGAAGAUGCUCCAGACUCGCCAAAGCUCAGAAGGCCUGACUAUGGAGCGCAAAUUAGACUGAAUUGCCUCCUUUCCCACAGUGUCUUUAACUGUGCCCUGCAUUUCACCAUCACACUUACCCCAGGGGAGUCUGAGCUGAGGUCCUCUGAACAGUCCUAGGUGUCUCAAUUCUCAAGAUAUGAGAGAAAUUGUGCAAACCCCUUUAUGUCCAAUUCAUAUUAUAUUAGGAUAUAUCUCCUAAAUAUUUGUGUUUGAAAGGAGCCUCUGGGUACUCACUGAUCCUAACCUAGAGGGCGGCAGGUAGCUUAGUGGUUAAGCACAUCGGGCCAAUGACUGAAAGAUUGCUGGUUUGAAUCCCCAAGCCAACUAGGUGAAACAUCUGCCUGUGCCCUUGAGCAUGCCACUUAACCUUAAUUGUUCCAGUACAUUUCUCUGGAUAAGAGUGUCUGUAAAAUAUGUAUCUUUUUUUCAUGAGCAGUCAAAAAUACUGACUGAGCAGUUCUAGUGUUAAAUGGCUGUGGGCUAGCAGACUGGUUCAUACUGUGUACAUUACUGUUCAUACUGUGUUGUCAUUGAAUUAAAAUUAUUUUAAUGGUUGUCCCUAACGACCUGAUUCAUACUGUAGUUUGUAGCCUACAUUUCUGUACCAUGCAUAUUAUUGUCUGUUUAGCAUUGCUGAAGCCAACUAGCCAAGUCCAUAGAUUAUAGGCACUCAAUAAAU